GAUACUGACACUGAGUGCGAAAGCGUGGGAGCAAACGGGAUUAGAUACCCCGGUAGUCCACGCCGUAAACGAUGUCUACUAGCCGUUGGAGGACUUGAUCCUUUAGUGGCGCAGCUAACGCGAUAAGUAGACCGCCUGGGGAGUACGGUCGCAAGAUUAAAACUCAAAUGAAUUGACGGGGGCCCGCACAAGCGGUGGAGCAUGUGGUUUAAUUCGAAGCAACGCGAAGAACCUUACCUACUCUUGACAUCCAGUGAACUUUUGAGAGAUCAAUUGGUGCCUUCGGGAACACUGAGACAGGUGCUGCAUGGCUGUCGUCAGCUCGUGUUGUGAAAUGUUGGGUUAAGUCCCGUAACGAGCGCAACCCUUGUCCUUAGUUACCAUCAUUAAGUUGGGGACUCUAAGGAGACUGCCGGUGACAAACCGGAGGAAGGCGGGGACGACGUCAAGUCAUCAUGGCCCUUACGAGUAGGGCUACACACGUGCUACAAUGGCAUGUACAAAGGGUUGCCAAGCCGCGAGGUGGAGCUAAUCCCAUAAAGCAUGUCGUAGUCCGGAUUGGAGUCUGCAACUCGACUCCAUGAAGUCGGAAUCGCUAGUAAUCGUGAAUCAGAAUGUCACGGUGAAUACGUUCCCGGGCCUUGUACACACCGCCCGUCACACCAUGGGAGUGGGUUGCUCCAGAAGUAGAUAGCUUAACCUUCGGGAGGGCGUUUACCACGGAGUGAUUCAUGACUGGGGUGAAGUCGUAACAAGGUAGCCGUA
Molecule: ribosomal RNA, 765 nt
Filed under: uncultured bacterium
Lineage: Bacteria
Description: bacterial SSU rRNA
Rfam family: Bacterial small subunit ribosomal RNA
Source: RNAcentral